GAUAUGAACUCUCCGAAAAAAUUACGCUGUUAUCCCUAAGGUAAGUUAAUCUUAUAAUCAAAAAUUUUGGAUCAAAAAAACAUAAAUUAAUGAAAAAAAUAUUAAAAGUUAAAUAAAUUUCAAUGUCACCCCAACAAAACUUUAUAUUCUAAAAAAUUAUUUAAUUAACAAAAAAUAAAAAUUAAUAAAUAAAGUUAACUUCUAUAGGGUCUUCUCGUCCUAUAAAUAAAUUUUAGCUUUUUAACUAAAAAAUUAAAUUCAAAACAAUUAAAAAAAGAAAGUUUAUUUUUCAUCAAACCAUUCAUACUAGCCUUCAAUUAAAAGACAAAUGAUUAUGCUACCUUCGUACAGUUAAAAUACCGCAGCCUUUUAAUUCAAAAAAAUCAAUGGGCAGGCCUGAUCUUAAAUUAAAAUCAAAAGAAC
Molecule: ribosomal RNA, 423 nt
Filed under: Gerris gracilicornis
Lineage: Eukaryota; Metazoa; Arthropoda; Insecta; Hemiptera; Gerridae
Description: partial 16S ribosomal RNA
Source: RNAcentral